GACGUGGGGUGCGAGCGUUGUCCGGAUUUAUUGGGCGUAAAGAGCUCGUAGGCGGUGUGUCGCGUCGGCCGUGAAAACCUGGGGCUUAACUCUGGGCGUGCGGUCGAUACGGGCAUCACUGGAGUUCGGCAGGGGAGACUGGAAUUCCUGGUGUAGCGGUGAAAUGCGCAGAUAUCAGGAGGAACACCGGUGGCGAAGGCGGGUCUCUGGGCCGAUACUGACGCUGAGGAGCGAAAGCAUGGGUAGCGAACAGG
Molecule: ribosomal RNA, 254 nt
Filed under: uncultured bacterium
Lineage: Bacteria
Description: partial 16S ribosomal RNA
Rfam family: Bacterial small subunit ribosomal RNA
Source: RNAcentral